GCAGGGAUGGUGAAACUGGCAGACACGAUAGGUUGAGGGCCUAUUGCCGCAAGGCGUGAGGGUUCAAAUCCCUCUCCCUGCA
Molecule: transfer RNA, 82 nt
Filed under: Candidatus Omnitrophota bacterium
Lineage: Bacteria; Pseudomonadati; Candidatus Omnitrophota
Description: Candidatus Omnitrophica bacterium (groundwater metagenome) tRNA-Leu
Rfam family: tRNA
About the family: Transfer RNA (tRNA) molecules are approximately 80 nucleotides in length. Their secondary structure includes four short double-helical elements and three loops (D, anti-codon, and T loops).
Source: RNAcentral